GAUGAAGAACGUAGCGAAAUGCGAUAAGUAGUGUGAAUUGCAGAAUUCAGUGAAUCAUCGAAUCUUUGAACGCACAUUGCGCCCCUUGGUAUCCCGAGGGGCAUGCCUGUUCGAGCGUCAUUUCACCACUCAAGCCUGGCUUGGUGUUGGGCGACGUCCCAUUUGGGGACGCGUCUCGAAACGCUCGGCGGCGUGGCACCGGCUUUAAGCGUAGCAGAAUCUUUCGCUUUGGAAGUCGGGGCCCCGUCUGCCGGAAGACCUACUCGCAAGGUUGACCUCGGAUCAGGCAGGGAUACCCGCUGAACUUAAGCAUAUCAAUAAGCGGAGGA
This 329-nucleotide unclassified non-coding RNA is filed under the name soil metagenome. RNAcentral's name for it is "partial contains 5.8S ribosomal RNA, internal transcribed spacer 2, and large subunit ribosomal RNA". The stretch from base 1 to 120 matches the Rfam family "5.8S ribosomal RNA", at positions 35 to 154 of the family's 154-position model. The record is from RNAcentral.